UGUUUUUUUUCAAUGGUGACUAAGGUUUCUCUUGCGGAUCGAGGAAGAAGAUAAUAGGACGUGGCUAAUUAGAUUCAAUUGGGUUCAAUGCGUGUGUGGCCAAAUUGGGGAUUGUGCUUGAAGAUUGUGGGCGGAUGGAAUUAGGUUAGGACCCAAAGUUUGUUUGGGUUUGGACGUGAUGGGUUGUUGGCGUGAAUUGGGAUUAGGAGUCCUAAUGGAACUACGACUUAGGGGAUAUGUGGCAUGAUAAAGGGAAGAUAACUAGGGAUGUGGGGGAAGA
Molecule: long non-coding RNA, 280 nt
Filed under: Phoenix dactylifera (date palm)
Lineage: Eukaryota; Viridiplantae; Streptophyta; Magnoliopsida; Arecales; Arecaceae
Description: long non-coding RNA (PDAC_LNC006611)
Source: RNAcentral